AAUUGGUGGAUGCCUUGGCAUGCACAGGCGAUGAAGGACGUGAUACGCUGCGAUAAGCGUCGGGGAGGUGCGAAUACCCUUGAUCCGUAGAUUUCCGAAUGGGGAAACCCACCUAAGGUGUUGGAAAAUCAGAGCAGCAGGGUGACUUGCUGCUGUGGUUUCCAAGGUAUCGAUAAUUAGGUAUCUUAUCUUCGAAUACAUAGGGAUAAGAAGCGAACGCGGGGAACUGAAACAUCUAAGUACCCGUAGGAAAGGACAUCAACCGAGACUCCGUAGUAGUGGCGAGCGAACGCGGACCAGGCCAGUGGCAUGGUGAGACAAGCAGAACCUUCUGGAAAGUAGGGCCAUAGCGGGUGACAGCCCCGUAUGCGUAAUGCGAACCAUUGUCCUCGAGUAAGGCGGGACACGUGAAAUCCUGUCUGAAAUUUGGGGGACCACCCUCCAAGCCUAAGUACUCGUGCAUGACCGAUAGCGAACUAGUACCGUGAGGGAAAGGUGAAAAGCACCCCGACAAGGGGAGUGAAAGAGUACCUGAAACCGAUU
Molecule: non-coding RNA, 543 nt
Filed under: Beta vulgaris subsp. vulgaris (sugar beet)
Lineage: Eukaryota; Viridiplantae; Streptophyta; Magnoliopsida; Caryophyllales; Amaranthaceae
Description: Bacterial large subunit ribosomal RNA
Rfam family: Bacterial large subunit ribosomal RNA
Source: Rfam by way of RNAcentral